This 19-nucleotide ribosomal RNA is filed under the name Agaricus bambusae var. bambusae. RNAcentral's name for it is "partial 5.8S ribosomal RNA". Lineage: Eukaryota; Fungi; Basidiomycota; Agaricomycetes; Agaricales; Agaricaceae. The record is from RNAcentral. RNAcentral also lists the same sequence under 1 other name.
AACUUUCAGCAACGGAUCU